This 497-nucleotide ribosomal RNA is filed under the name uncultured bacterium. RNAcentral describes it as "partial 16S ribosomal RNA". It matches the Rfam family "Bacterial small subunit ribosomal RNA", at positions 28 to 507 of the family's 1533-position model. The record is from RNAcentral.
GACGAACGCUGGCGGCGUGCCUAAUACAUGCAAGUUGAGCGCUGAAGGUUGGUACUUGUACCGACUGGAUGAGCAGCGCACGGGUGAGUAACGCGUGGGGAAUCUGCUUUUGAGCGGGGGACAACAUUUGGAAACGAAUGCUAAUACCGCAUAAAAACUUUAAACACAAGUUUUAAGUUUGAAAGAUGCAAUUGCAUCACUCAAAGAUGAUCCCGCGUUGUAUUAGCUAGUUGGUGAGGUAAAGGCUCACCAAGGCGAUGAUACAUAGCCGACCUGAGAGGGUGAUCGGCCACAUUGGGACUGAGACACGGCCCAAACUCCUACGGGAGGCAGCAGUAGGGAAUCUUCGGCAAUGGACGAAAGGCUGACCGAGCAACGCCGCGUGAGUGAAGAAGGUUGUCGGAUCGUAAAACUCUGUUGGUAGAGAAGAACGUUGGUGAGAGUGGAAAGCUCAUCAAGUGACGGUAACUACACAGAAAGGGACGGCUAACUACGUG